CAGCCAUUUUGACCACAAGUUGGCCUACUGCAAGUUAGCUUAAAGUUGUAGCACAAGGAGUAACUUAACUUUCCAUGCAAUUUUAGUUGCAAGCAUCUAGAAAAGUUUGUUAGCUGGAAUGUGCACCUUGAACCGUGUAUGGCUCUAUUUAUAGGACUCCAAACUAUCUAUUAUUUUAUAAAGAUAUGAAAGGAAAUAUUUUUCCUAGAAUUGUUUAUUUUGCAAGUUAUAUUAGUAUAGAUUAUUAAUGUACCCUUAUAUUUCUUUCAAAAUACUAUAUUUGCC
Molecule: long non-coding RNA, 285 nt
Filed under: Elaeis guineensis (African oil palm)
Lineage: Eukaryota; Viridiplantae; Streptophyta; Magnoliopsida; Arecales; Arecaceae
Description: long non-coding RNA (EGUI_LNC014106)
Source: RNAcentral